CCUACGGGAGGCAGCAGUGGGGAAUAUUGCGCAAUGGGCGAAAGCCUGACGGAGCGACGCCGCGUGAGGAAUGAAGGUCUUCGGAUCGUAAACCUCUGUCAGCAGAGAAGAACGGUCACUGUGCUAAUCAGCAGUGAAUUGACGGUACCUGCAAAGGAAGCACCGGCUAACUCCGUGCAAGCAGCCGCGGUAAUACGGAGGGUGCGAGCGUUAAUCGGAAUUAUUGGGCGUAAAGCGCUCGUAGGCGGUAUGUGAAGUCAAGAGUGAAAUCCCCGCGCUUAACGUGGGAACUGCCUUUGAAACUGGGAAACUGGAGUUUGUUAGAGGAUAGUGGAAUUCCAGGUGU
RNAcentral lists this ribosomal RNA (346 nucleotides) under uncultured bacterium. Its description in RNAcentral is "partial 16S ribosomal RNA". It matches the Rfam family "Bacterial small subunit ribosomal RNA", at positions 338 to 676 of the family's 1533-position model. The record is from RNAcentral.